RNAcentral lists this ribosomal RNA (711 nucleotides) under uncultured marine Phaeocystaceae. Its description in RNAcentral is "SSU rRNA". It matches the Rfam family "Eukaryotic small subunit ribosomal RNA", at positions 442 to 1157 of the family's 1831-position model. Lineage: Eukaryota; Haptophyta; Phaeocystales; Phaeocystaceae. The record is from RNAcentral.
UGCCCGAAUCCUGACACAGGGAGGUAGUGACAAGAAAUAACAAUACAGGGCUACUUCCAGUCUUGUAAUUGGAAUGAGUACAACUUACAUCUCUUCACGAGGAUCAACUGGAGGGCAAGUCUGGUGCCAGCAGCCGCGGUAAUUCCAGCUCCAGAAGCGUAUAUUAAAGUUGUUGCAGUUAAAACGCUCGUAGUCGGGUUUCGGGUCGGGCCGAGCGGUCUGCCGAUGGGUAUGCACUGUUUGGCGCGGCCUUCUCUCCGGAGACCGCGGCUACUCUUAACUGAGCGGGCGUGGGAGACGGAUCGUUUACUUUGAAAAAAUCAGAGUGUUUCAAGCAGGCAGCUCGCUCUUGCAUGGUACAGCAUGGGAUGAUUGAAUAGGACUCCGGUGCUAUUUUGUUGGUUUCGAACACCAGGAGUAAUGAUUAACAGGGACAGUCAGGGGCACUCGUAUUCCGUCGAGAGAGGUGAAAUUCUCAGACCAAUGGAAGACGAACCACUGCGAAAGCAUUUGCCAGGGAUGUUUUCACUGAUCAAGAACGAAAGUUAGGGGAUCGAAGACGAUCAGAUACCGUCGUAGUCUUAACCAUAAACCAUGCCGACUAGGGAUUGGAGGGUGUUCGUUUCGACCUCUUCAGCACCUUACGGGAAACUAAAGUCUUUGGGUUCCGGGGGGAGUAUGGUCGCAAGGCUGAAACUUAAAGGAAUUGAC